Molecule: unclassified non-coding RNA, 313 nt
Filed under: Hevea brasiliensis (rubber tree)
Lineage: Eukaryota; Viridiplantae; Streptophyta; Magnoliopsida; Malpighiales; Euphorbiaceae
Source: RNAcentral
GGAACGGUCGUUGAUAAAGUGAUAGCUGAUUUAGAAACAUGCGGAUUCCAGUGCCUGCUUGCUGGAAUUGGUGGAAAUGGCGUAGAAUUUUCAUAUAGCGGCAUUCCUGAUAUUGGAGGCAAUUUUUCAUGAGAUCCAUCUUUUCACUCUUGAAUGUGGACUCAGAAGGUGCGCUUCGCAAUCUAAAGGAACUCAGAUCCCUACCGUCCACUUGUUUUAUAGUUCAGGUCUUGAUUAAGAACUUGUCAACUUGUUUUAUAGUUCAGUCUUGACAAUAAUUAUAGACAAAUUUCAUAGUGCUCUUUUUAUUUCU